RNAcentral lists this ribosomal RNA (408 nucleotides) under uncultured bacterium. RNAcentral's name for it is "bacterial SSU rRNA". It matches the Rfam family "Bacterial small subunit ribosomal RNA", at positions 29 to 481 of the family's 1533-position model. The record is from RNAcentral.
AACGAACGCUGGCGGCAUGCCUAACACAUGCAAGUCGAACGAGACCUUCGGGUCUAGUGGCGCACGGGUGCGUAACGCGUGGGAAUCUGCCCUUGGGUUCGGAAUAACAGUUAGAAAUGACUGCUAAUACCGGAUAAUGUCUUCGGACCAAAGAUUUAUCGCCCAGGGAUGAGCCCGCGUAGGAUUAGCUAGUUGGUGAGGUAAAGGCUCACCAAGGCGACGAUCCUUAGCUGGUCUGAGAGGAUGAUCAGCCACACUGGGACUGAGACACGGCCCAGACUCCUACGGGAGGCAGCAGUGGGAAUAUUGGACAAUGGGCGAAAGCCUGAUCCAGCAAUGCCGCGUGAGUGAUGAAGGCCUUAGGGUUGUUAAAGACUCUUUUACCCGGGAUGAUAAUGACAGUACCGG